CGCCCUUCGGGGUGCAGCAGGCGCGAAACCUUUACAAUGCACGCAAGUGUGAUAAGGGAACCCCAAGUGCUUAUGCUUUGCAUAGGCUUUUUUCAAAGGUAAAUACUUUGAAGAAUAAGUGGUGGGUAAGACCGGUGCCAGCCGCCGCGGUAACACCGGCGCCACGAGUGGCAAUCACUUUUAUUGGGCCUAAAGCGUCCGUAGCUGGCAUUGUAAGUCUUUUGUGAAAUCGUCAAGCUUAACUUGACGACGUGCUUAAGAUACUGCAAUGCUUGGAACCGGGAGGAGUCAGAGGUAUUCUGAGGGGAGCGGUAAAAUGCUAUAAUCCUCAGAGGACCACCUGUGGCAAAGGCGUCUGACUAGAACGGAUUCGACAGUGAGGGACGAAAGCCAGGGGAGCGAUCCGGAUUAGAUACCCGAGUAGUCCUGGCCGUAAACGCUGCGAGCUAGGCGUUGCAGAUUCUACGUGAAUCUGCAGUGUCGUAGCGAAGGUGUUAAGCUCGCCGCCUGGGAAGUACGGUCGCAAGGCUGAAACUUAAAGGAAUUGGCGGGGGAGCAC
This 559-nucleotide ribosomal RNA is filed under the name uncultured archaeon. RNAcentral's name for it is "bacterial SSU rRNA". It matches the Rfam family "Archaeal small subunit ribosomal RNA", at positions 319 to 879 of the family's 1478-position model. The record is from RNAcentral.